UUACGGGAGGCAGCAGUGGGGAAUCUUAGACAAUGGGCGCAAGCCUGAUCUAGCCAUGCCGCGUGAGCGAUGAAGGCCUUAGGGUUGUAAAGCUCUUUCGUGGGGGAAGAUAAUGACUGUACCCCAAGAAGAAGCCCCGGCUAACUCCGUGCCAGCAGCCGCGGUAAUACGGAGGGGGCUAGCGUUGUUCGGAAUUACUGGGCGUAAAGCGCACGUAGGCGGACUGGAAAGUCAGAGGUGAAAUCCCAGGGCUCAACCUUGGAACUGCCUUUGAAACUCCCAGUCUUGAGGUCGAGAGAGGUGAGUGGAAUUCCGAGUGUAGAGGUGAAAUUCGUAGAUAUUCGGAGGAACACCAGUGGCGAAGGCGGCUCACUGGCUCGAUACUGACGCUGAGGUGCGAAAGCGUGGGGAGCAAACAGGAUUAGAUACCCCGGUAGC
Molecule: ribosomal RNA, 438 nt
Filed under: uncultured bacterium
Lineage: Bacteria
Description: bacterial SSU rRNA
Rfam family: Bacterial small subunit ribosomal RNA
Source: RNAcentral